This is a non-coding RNA of Oryzias latipes (Japanese medaka), 893 nucleotides long. NCBI's taxonomy places the organism in Eukaryota, Metazoa, Chordata, Actinopteri, Beloniformes, Adrianichthyidae. The record is from RefSeq and is a predicted model, not a curated record.
GCAGUUUAUCAAACGAGGGAGAAGAUGAGAUGAUCAGAGAUCAAUAAAAGUUUGGUUUUUGUUCAUUUUACUCGGUGGUGAAGUUGGGUAUUGCCUGAAGAAAAAAUACUACUUUCAUGUACUCAACGGGACUUGGUUGGGCCGAAUAAAGCGGAUUGUUUUCUGAGAUCCAUGAGCGGAAGAAACAAGAUGGCGAACCAACCCUGAACCAUGAAAGUGAUCCUAGCGAAGGACCAAGCGCCCUCUGCUGGACACUGGACAACCUUUUUCUGCUGGAACUGCAGGUGGCGUUUGAGUCUGUGAGGCGGCAUGGAGACGUUAGCCAGCAUCAAAAUGGCAGAAGGACCAGAGUCAUCGUCUGUCGACUUUGUUGCUCUCCAGUCUUACAGGUUGGUAAGGCAGUAAGAUAUGCAAAAUGGAUCAUAAAAUAUAAAUAUUCAACACAUUUAAUUGAGAGGUAUCACUUUAGUGAACAAAUACUGCACUGUUAUUUAGGGGUUUAACAGUACACUAAAAUCUCAAAUCAGUUCAGAAUUUCAAUGGACUCUGCUCAAUACAUUUUUUUUCUGCCUUUUUUGCUACAAAAAGGCAGAAAAAAAAGUCUUGCGAAAUGCAUUUAUUGGUUUUAUAUAAGAAUAAUAAAAUUAACCUAUGGUGGUGAUCUGCUAUAUAAAAUAAAACAACUAUUUGAUGUCAGGAACCAAAAACUUUGGAUACUUAACAAUGGCCUCAAAAAGACAAAAAACAUUUUAACUUGCACAAUUUUCUUUCUUGUAGACCCGAUUUUUACAGUCUGGUGAUGCCGUUUUAAGUUGGAUAACAGAUUAGAUGUUAUCUGUGGCUGAUGCUAUCUUCAUGUAAGAAUAAAAUGUGGAAACACAGCAUUCAACUUC